Molecule: small nucleolar RNA, 73 nt
Organism: Dasypus novemcinctus (nine-banded armadillo)
Lineage: Eukaryota; Metazoa; Chordata; Mammalia; Cingulata; Dasypodidae
Product: small nucleolar RNA, C/D box 1A
Source: Ensembl
ACAAGCCUGUGAUGUUUAGUUAUCCCUGUCUGAAAAUCUUGAGUGAAGGAAAGUAAUCUAUUCUGAGGCUUGC